Lolium perenne is the source of this 1281-nucleotide long non-coding RNA. RefSeq lists it as uncharacterized. NCBI's taxonomy places the organism in Eukaryota, Viridiplantae, Streptophyta, Magnoliopsida, Poales, Poaceae. The record is from RefSeq and is a predicted model, not a curated record.
CAGCGAAGGUGAUCAAGAAAGAUUGUGAUGCAUCAAGAAGUUUCGAGAUGAAAGCAGUUGGCUACUUCAAAAGGAAGAAGCUAAUUUGGCAUCCCCUAAUUACUGCAUACACUCCUGUACUAGAUGAGACACAUAGGAGCACACUGAACUGAGAACAGAGCAAUAGCAAUUGGCAGAGUUUCCUGUGGUCAGAGUAGUCAAACAGCGCUGGAUUGGAAGAAGGUGAUCUGCUCGAGAAUGUGGUUAACAAGCGUGAGAAAAGAUAUGCUUUGUUUGGAUCUUCCAGAAUAGGCAUAAAUCUAGCGCACCUCUUUUUUCUAAGAACAGGAAACAAACUCGUGCUGGUUUCUAGACCGGAUAUUGUACUAAAGUAGCCGAGCAAGUAGCAUGGCAAGGGAGUCUUUGAGCAUGGCACUGUUAUCGUCAGCGGCUAUGUGCCUUGCUGCAUUCAGAUCUAUUGCCUUUAGCGCCUAUCAGCAUGUUCCCUUGAGCCCCAGGUCUAAGGAUUGUUUAUGGUGGUACCUAUAUGAUAAAUAAGCCAGAGUGUCAGGUAGUUCUUAUCCCUUAUGUGAUAAUCAUGCAUGCCAGUGUAUGGUGUUACAUCAGACGCUGAAACUGCUAAAUGCAAGAAGGUUGUUUGUCAUCCCUCUUUACUUGCCCAACAGGUAAGGAAGAUUGGAAAGUUGCAUUUUCAACUGCCAUUAUGAAGCCUUGUGAUAAGACAAGGCAUCGUUCCUGUCCCGGUCUUUGCUCCUUCUUUUUUGAUAGGAUUUGAAGCUUCCUCUAGCUAAAUCGAUUCAUGCUGGUCUUUUUCUGUUACAUAUGGCACUGUGAGUGAUCGAAUGUUGUGGUCUUUUUGUCUGCAUCCAAAUAUAGCAGCACAAUAUACAUGUAAGUAAUGUAAUUGGCCAUGUUGCCAAGAAAUCGGAACUACCGUAUUUUUUGUUAUCUCGAAUCAUGUGAUCCUUCUUAGAUGUGCUAGCAAAUCCUAAAAGAUUUCAGUGAGGUUACUGCAACUUUUGAUGCAUUAGAUAAAUCAAAUGAGACAAAGUGCCACCAAAUUAAGGAUGCAUGUAUGUAAAUAUGCAGGCAGUUCAAAGCAGACACAUAGCAGCAUGUUUCACUAGCUAUCAACAUUCAUUGGAAAAUAUAAAUUACUCCAGUUUGUAUUUGACAUAUAUACCGAAGAAUCUAUAUAUUUUAAUAGAUAUGGCAUGAUGAUGUAUGGUGAUCUUGGUAUAUGCAAGUAUGAUAAGUACCACUUGGUGUGGCCUGUGCGCA